RNAcentral lists this ribosomal RNA (585 nucleotides) under uncultured marine bacterium. RNAcentral's name for it is "bacterial SSU rRNA". It matches the Rfam family "Bacterial small subunit ribosomal RNA", at positions 8 to 609 of the family's 1533-position model. The record is from RNAcentral.
AGAGUUUGAUCAUGGCUCAGGGUGAACGCUGGCGGCGCGCUUAAUGCAUGCAAGUCGAGCGUGAUCGUGGCUUCGGCCACAAUGAUAAAGCGGCAGACGGCUGAGUAACGCGUGAGUAAUCUGCCCUCCGGUGGGGUAUAGCCUCGGGAAACUGAGGAUAAUCCCGCAUACGACCUGCAUCCCUUGGGGUGCAGAUGAAAGGCUUCGGUCGCCGGAGGAGGAGCUCGCGUCCUAUCAGGUUGUUGGUGAGGUAAUGGCUCACCAAGCCGAUGACGGGUAGCUGGUCUGAGAGGAUGACCAGCCAGAGGGGGACUGAGAACGGCCCCCACUCCUACGGGAGGCAGCAGCAGGGAAUCUUGGGCAAUGGGCGCAAGCCUGACCCAGCGACGUCGCGUGGGGGACGAAGGCCUUCGGGUUGUAAACCCCUUUUCCGAGGGAAGAUACAAGACGGUACCUCGGGAAUAAGCCCCGGCUAACUACGUGCCAGCAGCCGCGGUAAUACGUAGGGGGCAAGCGUUACCCGGAUUUACUGGGCGUAAAGUGCGCGUAGGCGGUUGGAUAAGUCUCAUGUGUAAUCUCCCCGGC